This 299-nucleotide unclassified non-coding RNA is filed under the name plant metagenome. RNAcentral's name for it is "partial contains 5.8S ribosomal RNA, internal transcribed spacer 2, and large subunit ribosomal RNA". The stretch from base 1 to 105 matches the Rfam family "5.8S ribosomal RNA", at positions 50 to 154 of the family's 154-position model. The record is from RNAcentral.
GAAAUGCGAUAAGUAGUGUGAAUUGCAGAAUUCAGUGAAUCAUCGAAUCUUUGAACGCACAUUGCGCCCCUUGGUAUUCCAUGGGGCAUGCCUGUUCGAGCGUCAUUUGUACCCUCAAGCUUUGCUUGGUGUUGGGCGUCUUGUCGGAAUAUCCGACUCGCCUUAAAUACAUUGGCAGCCGGCACUUUGGCCUAGGAGCGCAGCACAUUUGCGAUCGUAAGCCGUUGUGACAGCAUCCAUAAGAUUUAUUUUACCACGUUUGACCUCGGAUCAGGUAGGGAUACCCGCUGAACUUAAGC